AUAGUUACAUCUGCUUAAAAUAUAAAUAAUGCUGUCUGUUCUCUCCAUAGCACCUAACAACAGAAAGAGGACUGAGAUUGAUAUGGCUCGAUUUCGUCCUCAAGCAGAUAACAAAAGGUACUGGGAUUGAUAUGCCUGGAUUACAAAAGGUACUGGGGUUGAUAUGCCUAGAGUACUGGGACUGAUAUGCCUGGAGUACAUCCACAAGCGGAUUACAAAAGUAAGUUAUCUUAUCGGUUCUUUCCAUAUCACCUCACUGGAAGGGGACACCG
Molecule: long non-coding RNA, 272 nt
Filed under: Brachypodium distachyon (stiff brome)
Lineage: Eukaryota; Viridiplantae; Streptophyta; Magnoliopsida; Poales; Poaceae
Description: long non-coding RNA (BDIS_LNC001565)
Source: RNAcentral